CGUGUCUGGAAUCAACUUGCAGCAACAUCAUGUUUUAUCAAGUAUUGAACCACACAAAGGAUUAAAUCUUCAUUACAAUAUCAUUCAUAACUCCAUUUAAAUCAAUGGAAACUAAAUAUGGAUCGUUUCAUGGAGUAACAACAUACUUUGGAGUUUGGACCCAAAAUACAAUACACGUUAAUAUCGAACUUAUAAGGUGUUAAGCUGCAAUAACAAUAAAAGUGCUUGCUAUGGAAUCACCGGUGCUGAUCAUUAUUGUCAACUGUUACUUAAAAUCCAGAUGAACCAACCUUUACUUCCUAUUCAAAUAAGUUUAGAAGAAACCUAUAUAAGCAAUAAAACCAGACCAAGAAUGCUUGAUUACAAACGAUGAACUCAUUUCAUUUGCAAGUUAUGCCAUGACAUAAAUGCAUUAAAUUAGGAAGAUUUGUAUUAGAUGAAUAUUAACUUCUGUUGAUAAGAACAUUUGAUUGGUGGAAUCCAGAUUCUGUGAAUGUACAUGUAAUUGAUUGACAAGUACACAUUUGACAAGGUGGUGAGAAACGUGUAGAUCUGGCCUGCUUACAGUGGCUAUUGGAUUGGACAGAACCAAAGUGAGAGUGAACC
This is a long non-coding RNA of Ostrinia nubilalis (European corn borer), 606 nucleotides long. RefSeq lists it as uncharacterized. The record is from RefSeq and is a predicted model, not a curated record. The transcript is spliced from 5 exons. NCBI's taxonomy places the organism in Eukaryota, Metazoa, Arthropoda, Insecta, Lepidoptera, Crambidae.